GUUUGAUGGCGACCGGCGCACGGGUGAGUAACGCGUAUCCAACCUGCCCUUUACUCGGGGAUAGCCUUCUGAAAGGAAGUUUAAUACCCGAUGAAUUCGUUUAGUCGCAUGGCUUGAUGAAGAAAGAUUUAUCAGUAAAGGAUGGGGAUGCGUCCCAUUAGCUUGUUGGCGGGGUAACGGCCCACCAAGGCGACGAUGGGUAGGGGUUCUGAGAGGAAGGUCCCCCACAUUGGAACUGAGACACGGUCCAAACUCCUACGGGAGGCAGCAGUGAGGAAUAUUGGUCAAUGGGCGCGAGCCUGAACCAGCCAAGUAGCGUGGAGGA
Molecule: ribosomal RNA, 325 nt
Filed under: uncultured bacterium
Lineage: Bacteria
Description: bacterial SSU rRNA
Rfam family: Bacterial small subunit ribosomal RNA
Source: RNAcentral